Molecule: RNA transcript, 1993 nt
Organism: Trifolium pratense (red clover)
Lineage: Eukaryota; Viridiplantae; Streptophyta; Magnoliopsida; Fabales; Fabaceae
Exons: 3
Source: RefSeq, a predicted model, not a curated record
UCUUUUUAUGCACAAUGCAUAAGGUGAUGACAGCCAUCCGAUCAUGAUUAUAGUGAUGACACGUGUAUUGAUCUGAAGGUCUCACCUCUGACCCUGAGUCACACAGGAUCACAGUCUCAAGCUCUCUCAAGGUCUCAACAUCGCGAUUCUCUCUGAAUCUCGCCGUCGUCUUCUCCCUUCGUACUCGGUGGUGUACGGUGGAUUCUCGACGGUGGUCCUCACUUUUCUUUCUUGUUCUGUUCUUCUUUUUAGUUAUGAGUAGUUUGAUAAAAAGGGUGGCGGUGAUGGUUGUAAUAUGAGGAAGAUGAAGUACUCGUAGGUGUAUCAAGAUCAAUUUCCGUUCAAUUCAUCUCAUUCUCUUCAAUUUCAUAUACAUGUUGUAUCAGGAUCAAGAUCUAGGUUUUGGAGUUGGCUGGAAAUGCUGCAAGGGACAACAAGAAAAGUAGAACUUUGCUAAGUCAUAUUAUUCAAUUGGCUGUUAGGAAUGAUGAAUAAUUGAGCAAGCUUCUUGGUGAUGUUACCAUUGCUAAUGGUGGUGUUAUGCCUAAUAUUCAUAACUUGUUGCUUCCAAAGAAUACUGGUCCUUCCUCUAAGGCUGCUGCUGAGGAUGAAUAAACGAAUGAAUGAAUUGUUACUUGAAACUUGAUUUUGCAGAUGGGGUUAACAAAUUUAGUUUCAAUUUUUUGUAUAUGGGUUUAGUUUUAGAGGUUCACGACUUUGAUCUUUAGCUAUGUUAGUGGUUCUGUUAGUUACAGUAUCCGCUCAUCUCUCGAAUGAUCAAACACUUGGUAUUUUCAGAAUCUCAUCACAUCCACCACUUUAAGCUCUGCAAAUCUCUUGGUAAAUUAAUUCUUAGUUGUAUGUGUUGGAAAUUGAUUUGUUGUAUUAUCUGGUCUACACACUGUAUGGCUGAAAAAGUGUAUAUGGUACAUCCGAGAUGACGGCGGACUGUUUAGGCGUGCAGGAACAUAUUGGAUAAGUAGUGCUUACUCAAUUCUUGAAGUAGAGGCCCUAGUUCUUUUAGAGGCCACGAAGGAUGCAAGCAAUAUGAACUUAGAGAACAUAAUAUUUGAAACUGAUUCAAGUACUGUUGUUGUAGCUUUACAUGCUAACCAUGUUGGUGUCUCAGCCUUUAGUAUCCUCAUUUUAAAUAUUAAGAGAUUGUUGCUUUUAAAUUCCAACUUUGAGGUAAAGAGAGCAAAACAGCGUGGCAAGCUGCUGGACUCGAUGUGAUGAUUUCGGCGCGGUUUCAACACUACAAUGCGCCAAAAGAUGUUAUUAUGAAUAUUUGUCAUUAUGAGGGUAAACAUAUACAGCUGGGAAAUUCGCUAUGCUAGUGUGGAUCUUGUGGAAUAAUAGAAACAAUUGGGUUUGGAAUAAUGUGAAAGAUUCGGGGCAACAACUAUGCGGUAAAGCGAUGCAUUUGUGGAAUGAAUGGGACGCGGUUCAGCAAAUUCGCGACAGGAACAACAGCAGACCGCAAGUACAUCAGCAGAAUACACAGUGGAAACAACCAGAAUUUGGAUGGCUCAAGUGCAAUGUUGAUGCAGGUUUUCACAUCGAGCAAGGUGUUACAAGCGCGGGAUGGUGUGUUAGAGAUUACUUGGGUCAGUUUGUGCUAGCUGGUACAUCAUGGAUUAAAGGGAAAUGUUCCAUAAUUGACGGGGAAGCUCUUGCCUUGUUUGAAGCUAUGAAGGAGUUGGAGCGUUGGGGUCUCACUAAUGUCAUAUUUGAAACAGAUUCUAAGAGUGUAGUGGAUGCAAUACGCUGUUCAUAUGUUGGCCUUUCUGACUUUAGUAUUUUAAUGUGUAAAAUUAAGCAAUUGUUGUCUUUACAUUUAAACUUUGAGGUGAGUUUUACCAAGUGACAAGCGAAUAUGAUUGCUCAUACGCUUGCUAGGGCGACCAUUUCUUGAUCUAGUCGUUAUCUAUUUAAAUUACUACCUUCUUGUAUUGAACCUUUUUUGAUUAAUGAAAUGCUAUAAGUUUGUUUU